This 73-nucleotide transfer RNA is filed under the name Patulibacter sp. RNAcentral describes it as "tRNA-Ala". It matches the Rfam family "tRNA". Rfam says of the family: Transfer RNA (tRNA) molecules are approximately 80 nucleotides in length. Their secondary structure includes four short double-helical elements and three loops (D, anti-codon, and T loops). Further hydrogen bonds mediate the characteristic L-shaped molecular structure. tRNAs have two regions of fundamental functional importance: the anti-codon, which is responsible for specific mRNA codon recognition, and the 3' end, to which the tRNAs corresponding amino acid is attached (by aminoacyl-tRNA synthetases). tRNAs cope with the degeneracy of the genetic code in two manners: having more than one tRNA (with a specific anti-codon) for a particular amino acid; and 'wobble' base-pairing, i.e. permitting non-standard base-pairing at the 3rd anti-codon position. The record is from RNAcentral. Lineage: Bacteria; Bacillati; Actinomycetota; Thermoleophilia; Solirubrobacterales; Patulibacteraceae. RNAcentral also lists the same sequence under 1 other name.
GGGGCUAUAGCUCAGUUGGUAGAGUGCCUGGAUCGCACCCAGGAGGUCGCCGGUUCGAAUCCGGCUAGCUCCA